UUCCUACGGGAGGCAGCAGUGGGGAAUCUUGCGCAAUGGGCGAAAGCCUGACGCAGCCAUGCCGCGUGAAUGAUGAAGGUCUUAGGAUUGUAAAAUUCUUUCACCGGGGACGAUAAUGACGGUACCCGGAGAAGAAGCCCCGGCUAACUUCGUGCCAGCAGCCGCGG
This 167-nucleotide ribosomal RNA is filed under the name uncultured bacterium. Its description in RNAcentral is "partial 16S ribosomal RNA". It matches the Rfam family "Bacterial small subunit ribosomal RNA", at positions 336 to 520 of the family's 1533-position model. RNAcentral also lists the same sequence under 1 other name. The record is from RNAcentral.